UGCCUUACACAUGCAAGUCGAACGCGAAAGGGGGGGCGACUCCCCGAGUAGAGUGGCGAACGGGUGAGUAAUACAUCGGAACGUGUCCAGUAGCGGGGGAUAACCUCUCGAAAGAGAGGCUAAUACCGCAUACGACCUACGGGUGAAAGAGGGGGAUCGCAAGACCUCUCACUAUUGGAGCGGCCGAUGUCGGGUUAGCUAGUUGGCGGGGUAAAAGCCCACCAAGGCGACCAUCCGUAGCUGGUCUGAGAGGACGGCCAGCCACACUGGAACUGAGACACGGUCCAGACUCCUACGGGAGGCAGCAGUGGGGAAUUUUGGACAAUGGGCGCAAGCCUGAUCCAGCCAUGCCGCGUGAGUGAAGAAGGCCUUCGGGUUGUAAAGCUC
Molecule: ribosomal RNA, 387 nt
Filed under: uncultured organism
Description: bacterial SSU rRNA
Rfam family: Bacterial small subunit ribosomal RNA
Source: RNAcentral